GUAAUGCAUCGAUUUAGCCAUGCUAGUUGCACGAGUUCAGACUCGUAGCAGAUAGCUCAGUAACACGUGGCCAAACUACCCUAUGGAUCCGAAUAACCUCGGGAAACUGAGGCUAAUGCGGAAUAGCGUUCAUCGCCUGGAGUGGCACGAACGCGAAACGUUACGGCGCCAUAGGAUGUGGCUGCGGCCGAUUAGGUAGACGGUGGGGUAACGGCCCACCGUGCCCAUAAUCGGUACGGGUUGUGAGAGCAAGAGCCCGGAGACGGUAUCUGAGACAAGAUACCGGGCCCUACGGGGCGCAGCAGGCGCGAAACCUUUACACUGCACGCGAGUGCGAUAAGGGGACUCCGAGUGCGAGGGCAUAUAGUCCUCGCUUUUCACGACCGUAAGGUGGUCGUAGAAUAAGUGCUGGGCAAGACCGGUGCCAGCCGCCGCGGUAAUACCGGCAGCACGAGUGAUGACCGCUAUUAUUGGGCCUAAAGCGUCCGUAGCUGGCCACGCAAGUCUAUCGGGAAAUCCGCGCGCUUAACGCGCGGGCGUCCGGUGGAAACUGCGUGGCUUGGGACCGGAAGACCAGAGGGGUACGUCCGGGGUAGGAGUGAAAUCCCGUAAUCCUGGACGGACCACCGGUGGCGAAAGCGCCUCUGGAAGACGGAUCCG
This 660-nucleotide ribosomal RNA is filed under the name Natrinema pallidum. RNAcentral describes it as "bacterial SSU rRNA". It matches the Rfam family "Archaeal small subunit ribosomal RNA", at positions 32 to 693 of the family's 1478-position model. Lineage: Archaea; Methanobacteriati; Methanobacteriota; Halobacteria; Halobacteriales; Natrialbaceae. The record is from RNAcentral.